UACGUAGGGGGCAAGCGUUGUCCGGAUUUAUUGGGCGUAAAGAGCGUGUAGGCGGCCAUGUAGGUCCGUUGUGAAAACUCGAGGCUCAACCUCGAGACGCCGAUGGAAACCAUGUGGCUAGAGUCCGGAAGAGGAGAGUGGAAUUCCUGGUGUAGCGGUGAAAUGCGCAGAUAUCAGGAAGAACACCGGUGGCGAAGGCGGCAUCCUGGACCGGUAUUGACGCUGAGGAGCGAAAGCCAGGGGAGCAAACGGG
This 253-nucleotide ribosomal RNA is filed under the name uncultured bacterium. Its description in RNAcentral is "partial 16S ribosomal RNA". It matches the Rfam family "Bacterial small subunit ribosomal RNA", at positions 524 to 776 of the family's 1533-position model. The record is from RNAcentral.